This is a long non-coding RNA of Phacochoerus africanus (Common warthog), 1480 nucleotides long. RefSeq lists it as uncharacterized. The record is from RefSeq and is a predicted model, not a curated record. The transcript has 3 exons. NCBI's taxonomy places the organism in Eukaryota, Metazoa, Chordata, Mammalia, Artiodactyla, Suidae.
ACGGGCUCCCCAGAGCUGUUUGCAGAAAUGCCUCCCUUGAAGACAUUUCAAAGUGUUCUCGGCCAGAAAGCUUUAAAAAAAUCAUAAAAGCAGCCAUCCUCUUCCCAAAUCCAGCCCUCCUAAGCAUCUCUCAUCCCCUGGGACUGGAGCAACUUCUCGCCUGCUUCAAGAAAGCCUCUCCAUCAGGGCCCGGAGAGAGUGGGGCUUCUCACAAGGCGCUUCCUCCCCAUGAAAGCAGUGGACCAGAACCUGCUGGAAGCUUGGGACACUCCACACCGAACAUCGGACCCCAGCCCAAGUUGCAGCUUCAAGCCCCAACAUGUGGGACAUGGCUGGACAAGCACAGAAGGAAGACCAGGGCCAAGCCCUGGAGGCCCCUGAGCUCCAUCUCUGGGCUGCAGCACGAGAGGCAGCAGCCGCUCCCCCCGCCUCCAUCUGUGCCCGCGUCUGAGGUGUUAGCGCUUCGGCUGCAGCGCCAGCGAACUGCCCGAUUCAUUACUAAGCAGCCUGAUUUCAGUCGCCCGGAACUGCCCUGUGCGGCGCCCACCCGGGGGGACCCGUCGGUCACGGUCACAGCGCUUGGGCGGCGGCUCUGACGUCGGGUGGCGGGACGGAGCCCACGCGUGUUUCGGCUCCGCUCCCUCCACCCUGGCCCAGCCCUGACACGUGAAGGGCCCUCAGAAGGGACGGCGCCGAAGGAAAUUCGAUCAGGCUCGGAGAUCUGAGAGCCGGUAUUGAUGCCUGCAGAUUGGGACGCUGGGCACGCGGCCUUUGAAAGGCCUAAUCCUGGCAGAAGCUCAGACGCUCCCCCGAGAAGCCAUCGGGCGGGUGGAGGAGCCUGUUUCUGCAGGAGGAGGGGGGCCGAGGGGCCCGGGAGGGGAGGGGGCAGCGGGUACCAAUCUGGGCUCUAGAGCUCAGGUUACUCCAGCUCUCUGAGCCUCCGUUUCCUCAUCUGUAAAAUGGGGACCAGAGCAGCACCUCCCCCCAGGCCUGGCACGCCCUCAGGGUCUGUCCACACCAGCCUCGAGAGGCCGGCCAGGCCCUACCCGCCUUCCCCCUGCCUCUGCCCCCCACCCCACCCCUAUCCCCAGGCCACAUGCAGCCUUUCCCUCCAGGCUUUGGGCAGUGGCCUCCCGAGCCACCCCAGGGGUCUGCCCCAAGCGUCCCAUUCACUCAAAUGCUCCUCGGAGCACCUCUGCCUCAGGAGCCAGUGGGGAAACUGAGUCAAGGCCCCUGGGGCAGAGGAGGCUGGGAGAUGCCUGGCUCAGGGGACCCCCACCCAGGCGGGAAAUAGGACUGAUCCGAGGAGUGGGGCUGGCCAGCCAGGCGGGCUUCUGGAAGGGGCUCCAGGGCGGCCGGAGGAAGGGCCGGGUCCUGCAUUUCCUGCCGUGUGGUCUGGGCCACACUUUCCCCACCCACUGACCCGCCCGCCUCCCAGGACCUCAGCAAGGAAUAAAUUACAGAGUGGCUAGUAUUGUUA